CGGGAGCGGCUUAGCCAGACCGUCGGCCUCCGUCAGACACUGCCCUGGCUGCCACCAUCUGAAAGCUUGACUGUGGCUGGGAGGUCCACUUCCGAGCUGACGCACUCUCGGGGCUCCUUGGCAAGAGACCUCGGCUUCUCCCUCAGUUCUUCCCCACGGGGCUGCUUGAGUGUCCUCACCACAGGGCUGCUGGUGUCCCCAGAGACACUGACCCGAGUCCCUCAGGCCUGUCCUGAUCUCGUCUCAGACUCAUGCACUGCCACUGUGGCCACUUUUCCUUCAUUAGAAUGAGCCACUGAGCCCAGCCCACACUAAGAGGCACGGAGGUGAAGCUUUCCUUGUGGAAUGAAACACAGUCUUCAAGUGUUUGGCCAUUGUGCAAGCCUUGGGAGCUGUGCUUGGAGAGGUCAAAGCUGUUCUGGGAGCCCAUGUCUGAAGCUCCAUCAACAGGUGGAGCUACAAGGAGGCCGGCCCUUCACUUACACAGAGAUCAGCAUCGGCUGCCUGUAAAAUCCUGGCUUAGGAAAAUUGGACUCCAUUUUCCACCUGCUGGUACUCAAAGCAGACGGAGCCAAAUGUGAGCUUGGGCCAUGGGAAGGAAACGGGAGUCAACCCGCCCCCGGAAACCUGAAGCACUGCGUCAGAACCGAACGCCCGGAGCCGCCCGCCCCUGAGUCCAGGCUGAUUCCUCAGGCCGCCGCCGUCCGGGUCGGUUUUGAGACGUGGGCGGUGGACCGCUUCUCAGACCCGCCACCCGCCUCCUGCAGGGAUCUUCCUCCUCCCGGGCUAAGGCUCAGGCUGGCUCCUGCCAGCACAGCGCGCGCGCACACGGGGGAAAGCUUUGAAAAAAUGACGGCGUAGACGAGCUCACCGGCGGCGGGGCUGCGGAGCGGUUGGAGUUGACUCCCUGCAGCAGGGAAUCCCUCGGUCCCACGCCCGCUCCCCGCCCGCAAGCUGCGGCACUGAAGGCCAGGGACGAGGGCAGCGAGCGCGCCGCCCGAGGGCAGUGAAGACUCAUUUGGGAAUUAAUGAUUAAGUAAGACUUGCACAAAGUAAUGAAGGAGCA
This 1066-nucleotide long non-coding RNA is filed under the name Equus asinus (donkey). RNAcentral's name for it is "lncRNA (ENSEASG00005032737.1)". Lineage: Eukaryota; Metazoa; Chordata; Mammalia; Perissodactyla; Equidae. The record is from RNAcentral.